This 392-nucleotide ribosomal RNA is filed under the name Allogromiina sp. 1125. RNAcentral describes it as "partial 18S ribosomal RNA". It matches the Rfam family "Eukaryotic small subunit ribosomal RNA", at positions 1207 to 1453 of the family's 1831-position model. Lineage: Eukaryota; Foraminifera; Allogromiidae. The record is from RNAcentral.
GGGAAAUCUUACCGGGUCCGGACACACUGAGGAUUGACAGGUAAUAUUAUUUAAAUAUUUGAAAUUUCAAUUUUUUCUCGGAAAUUUUGGAAUGGACUUUAUUUUUAUAUGUAAAUAUGCUAGUCCUUUCAUGAUUAUGUGAUAGGUGGUGCAUGGCCGUUCUUAGUUCGUGGAGUGAUCUGUCUGCUUAAUUGCGUUUCACUAAGAGCUUAUCAAUUUACGUAUGUCUCGCUAGCGUAUUUUGACCCCCAUUUCUUUUUUAACUUUAUAAAGUUUUUUUUGAAUAUUCGUUUCUCUGAAACAAUGUUCUUAAAAUUCUUUUUGUUAUUAAAGAAUUGUGCGCGUGUCAUUUAUGUAUCAAGCAGCAUACAAUUAAGCUCUGAAAGCAACGA